This is a non-coding RNA of Flavobacterium fryxellicola, 98 nucleotides long. Lineage: Bacteria; Pseudomonadati; Bacteroidota; Flavobacteriia; Flavobacteriales; Flavobacteriaceae. The record is from Rfam.
UUAUAGCCCUGAUAGCAGCGGUAUCCUUUACGUGUCUCAUGUCGUCUCUUGAGACGAGAGGUGACGCGUAAAGAUACAAGCGAAUAGCAGGAAACAGC